CACGGAGUUAGCCGGGACUUCUUCUGCGGGUACCGUCAUUAUCUUCCCCGCUGAAAGGGGUUUACAACCCUAGGGCCUUCUUCACCCACGCGGCAUGGCUGCAUCAGGCUUUCGCCCAUUGUGCAAUAUUCCCCA
Molecule: ribosomal RNA, 135 nt
Filed under: uncultured bacterium
Lineage: Bacteria
Description: partial 16S ribosomal RNA
Source: RNAcentral